CUGUCCAACGUUAAUCGGGGCAGGGUGAGUCGACCCCUAAGGCGAGGCCGAAAGGCGUAGUCGAUGGGAAACAGGUUAAUAUUCCUGUACUUGGUGUUACUGCGAAGGGGGGACGGAGAAGGCUAUGUUGGCCGGGCGACGGUUGUCCCGGUUUAAGCGUGUAGGCUGAUUUUCCAGGCAAAUCCGGAAAAUCAAGGCUGAGGCGUGAUGACGAGGCACUACGGUGCUGAAGCAACAAAUGCCCUGCUUCCAGGAAAAGCCUCUAAGCAUCAGGUAACAUCAAAUCGUACCCCAAACCGACACAGGUGGUCAGGUAGAGAAUACCAAGGCGCUUGAGAGAACUCGGGUGAAGGAACUAGGCAAAAUGGUGCCGUAACUUCGGGAGAAGGCACGCUGAUAUGUAGGUGAAGCGACUUGCUCGUGGAGCUGAAAUCAGUCGAAGAUACCAGCUGGCUGCAACUGUUUAUUAAAAACACAGCACUGUGCAAACACGAAAGUGGACGUAUACGGUGUGACGCCUGCCCGGUGCCGGAAGGUUAAUUGAUGGGGUUAGCGGUAACGCGAAGCUCUUGAUCGAAGCCCCGGUAAACGGCGGCCGUAACUAUAACGGUCCUAAGGUAGCGAAAUUCCUUGUCGGGUAAGUUCCGACCUGCACGAAUGGCGUAAUGAUGGCCAGGCUGUCUCCACCCGAGACUCAGUGAAAUUGAACUCGCUGUGAAGAUGCAGUGUACCCGCGGCAAGACGGAAAGACCCCGUGAACCUUUACUAUAGCUUGACACUGAACAUUGAGCCUUGAUGUGUAGGAUAGGUGGGAGGCUUUGAAGUGUGGACGCCAGUCUGCAUGGAGCCGACCUUGAAAUACCACCCUUUAAUGUUUGAUGUUCUAACGUUGGCCCGUUAUCCGGGUUGCGGACAGUGUCUGGUGGGUAGUUUGACUGGGGCGGUCUCCUCCUAAAGAGUAACGGAGGAGCACGAAGGUUGGCUAAUCCUGGUCGGACAUCAGGAGGUUAGUGCAAUGGCAUAAGCCAGCUUGACUGCGAGCGUGACGGCGCGAGCAGGUGCGAAAGCAGGUCAUAGUGAUCCGGUGGUUCUGAAUGGAAGGGCCAUCGCUCAACGGAUAAAAGGUACUCCGGGGAUAACAGGCUGAUACCGCCCAAGAGUUCAUAUCGACGGCGGUGUUUGGCACCUCGAUGUCGGCUCAUCACAUCCUGGGGCUGAAGUAGGUCCCAAGGGUAUGGCUGUUCGCCAUUUAAAGUGGUACGCGAGCUGGGUUUAGAACGUCGUGAGACAGUUCGGUCCCUAUCUGCCGUGGGCGCUGGAGAACUGAGGGGGGCUGCUCCUAGUACGAGAGGACCGGAGUGGACGCAUCACUGGUGUUCGGGUUGUCAUGCCAAUGGCACUGCCCGGUAGCUAAAUGCGGAAGAGAUAAGUGCUGAAAGCAUCUAAGCACGAAACUUGCCCCG
Molecule: ribosomal RNA, 1463 nt
Filed under: Escherichia coli
Lineage: Bacteria; Pseudomonadati; Pseudomonadota; Gammaproteobacteria; Enterobacterales; Enterobacteriaceae
Description: partial 23S ribosomal RNA
Rfam family: Bacterial large subunit ribosomal RNA
Source: RNAcentral